Molecule: small nuclear RNA, 102 nt
Organism: Ochotona princeps (American pika)
Lineage: Eukaryota; Metazoa; Chordata; Mammalia; Lagomorpha; Ochotonidae
Source: RefSeq, a predicted model, not a curated record
GUGCUCGCUUCGGCAGCACAUAUACUAAAAUUGGAAUGAUACAGAGAAGAUUAGCAUGGCCCCUGCGCAAGGAUGACCUGCAAAAAGAACUACUAUGUGAUC